This 508-nucleotide ribosomal RNA is filed under the name uncultured bacterium. Its description in RNAcentral is "partial 16S ribosomal RNA". It matches the Rfam family "Bacterial small subunit ribosomal RNA", at positions 28 to 523 of the family's 1533-position model. The record is from RNAcentral.
GAUGAACGCUAGCUACAGGCUUAACACAUGCAAGUCGAGGGGAAACGAUAGAGAAAGCUUGCUUUUUCUAGGCGUCGACCGGCGCACGGGUGAGUAACGCGUAUCCAACCUGCCCAUCACUUGGGGAUAACCUUGCGAAAGUAAGACUAAUACCCAAUGAUAUCUAUAGAAGACAUCUGAAGGAGAUUAACGAUUUAUCGGUGAAGGAUGGGGAUGCGUCUGAUUAGCUUGUUGGCGGGGUAACGGCCCACCAAGGAGACGAUCAGUAGGGGUUCUGAGAGGAAGGUCCCCCACAUUGGAACUGGGACACGGGCCAAACUCCUACGGGAGUCAGCAGUAAGGAAUAUUGGUCAAUGGACGAGAGUCUGAACCAGCCAAGUAGCGUGCAGGAUGACGGCCCUAUGGGUUGUAAACUACUUUUAUAAGGGAAUAAAGUGAGUCUCGUGAGACUUUUUGCAUGUACCUUAUGAAUAAGGACCGGCUAAUUCCGUGCCAGCCGCCGCUGUAA